AAUAAAGUAAGCUAAAAUUUAAGCUAUUGGGUUCAUACCCCAAAAAUUGUNGCAUUUUCCUUUAUUA
RNAcentral lists this transfer RNA (67 nucleotides) under Pseudocellus pearsei. RNAcentral describes it as "tRNA-Met". Lineage: Eukaryota; Metazoa; Arthropoda; Arachnida; Ricinulei; Ricinoididae. The record is from RNAcentral.